GUAUGAGGGUAGAACGAGGAACA
This 23-nucleotide non-coding RNA is filed under the name Arabidopsis thaliana (thale cress). The record is from RNAcentral. Lineage: Eukaryota; Viridiplantae; Streptophyta; Magnoliopsida; Brassicales; Brassicaceae.